RNAcentral lists this ribosomal RNA (669 nucleotides) under uncultured Planctomycetota bacterium. RNAcentral's name for it is "uncultured planctomycete partial 16S ribosomal RNA". Lineage: Bacteria; Pseudomonadati; Planctomycetota. The record is from RNAcentral.
AUUCAUGCAGAGAUGACACUAUGCUCGGCAUGGCGCGGGGAUCUAGGUCACGUUGUGUGAGUGCAACUAAAAAGAAGAAGACCCCGGCGGAGGAGACCCCCCCCCCCUCCUCGGAGACCUCUGGAGGAGUCGUCCGACCUAAUGCUCAUAGUUGACACCUGAGACUACCGGGGUAUCUAAUCCCGUUCGCUACCCUAGCUUUCUGCCUCACGUCAGAAAAGACCCAGUGAGCCGCUUUCGCCACAGGUGUUCCUAAUGAUAUCAACGCAUUUCACCGCUCCACCAUUAGUUCCGCUCUGCUCUAUCUUCCUCUAGCUUGGCAGUUUUGAGCGCAGUUCCUCGGUUGACCAGGGAUUUCACACCCACUUGCCUAGUUUUUUUUACGCACCCUUUAAGCCCUGAUUCCAAUAACGUUUGGAGGUUCGUCUUACCCCCCUGCUGGCAAUUUAAGCCGUCCUUCCUCUGAAGAUAGGUCAACUAUGGGGGAGAACCCCCAUAGAUUUCCUCCCAACUGAACGGUUUACACCCGAAGGCCUUCAUCCCGGGUCUCCGUCAGGUUUCCCCAUUGCGGAAAUUUUCACUGCCCCGGGCGGGGCGGGGGCCGGGCCGGGGGAGGCGGGGAAUCCUAGGGAUUCCCGGCCCCUGCAGUCAACAAGGGAAACUCCACGG